This is a small nucleolar RNA of Cyprinus carpio carpio, 204 nucleotides long. Its record names the gene U3. It matches the Rfam family "Small nucleolar RNA U3". Rfam says of the family: Small nucleolar RNAs (snoRNAs) are involved in the processing and modification of rRNA in the nucleolus. There are two main classes of snoRNAs: the box C/D class, and the box H/ACA class. U3 snoRNA is a member of the box C/D class. The record is from Ensembl. NCBI's taxonomy places the organism in Eukaryota, Metazoa, Chordata, Actinopteri, Cypriniformes, Cyprinidae.
AAGACUAUGUUUCAGGGAUCAUUUCUAUAGUUCUUUGUAAGUGUAUUUAGAAAGUGUUUGUCUCCCAACCCAUGACGUGAGCUAUGAUACUCCAUUCUGAGAGUGGGUGAGGACAGAACUCAACUACAUUCACAAGCUCUGUUGUUGAUGGCGUUCAUAUUGUUUUAGCAAUGUUGUUGAAGAAAGGAGUAUGAUCUGAGUCGG